This is an RNA transcript of Diospyros lotus (date-plum), 1548 nucleotides long. It is a transcript of the gene named mediator of RNA polymerase II transcription subunit 10b-like, with no coding region annotated. Lineage: Eukaryota; Viridiplantae; Streptophyta; Magnoliopsida; Ericales; Ebenaceae. The transcript has 7 exons. The record is from RefSeq and is a predicted model, not a curated record.
GGUCUCGUUAUUCCAAGUUCCGAACAAUUUAUUCUAUUUCACCGCAGAGUGGCGGGUGUUGUGAGAGAACAGCGAUUCCAUCAAUCGGCGGGAUAACAAUCUAAUGAAUCCUCUGCAGAACACGGCUGCGGUUGCGGCGGCGGCGGCAGCGGCAGCUGGUGGCGGCGGGAGUGGCGGUAACGGGAUAGUUAUUCCUCAAAACAGUGAUACCUCCACCGUCACCGAAAUCGGCACCGCGGCCGAAGACGAUCCGAAGCAAAACCUGAACCAAGUGAUCAACUCCAUACAGAAAACGCUUGGAUUAAUCCACCAGCUCUACCUCACCGUCUCUUCCUUCAAUGUCGCCUCCCAACUUCCCCUCCUCCAGCGCUUAAAUUCACUUGUGUCUGAGCUGGACAACAUGACUAAAUUGGCGGAGAAAUGCAACAUCCAGGUGCCGAUGCAGGUCCUCAAUUUAAUUGAUGAUGGGAAGAAUCCCGAUGAAUACACUAAGGAUGUAUUGAAUGACUGUAUUGCCAAAAACCAGAUCACCAAAGGCAAAACCGAUGCCUUCAAGGGUCUACGGAGGAAUCUUCUUGAGGAACUUGAACAGGCAUUUCCAGAUGAAGUAGAGUCCUACAGGGAGAUAAGAGCUGCUUCCGCAGCUGAACUGAAGCGGCUUGCACAAGCACAGAGCAUCUUACCCAAUGGAGAUGUGAAAGUCAAACCCGAGCUUUGAGAGCCUAUGUUGUCAAUGAAUCAGACUAGUAAAUCUAUAGAAGAGUUAGGAACCAGAUUAAAAGCAUGAGCAGUCCCAGACUCCUAGAUGGGGAUUGAGACUCGGAAGACAGAUUAGGAGCAUGAGCAGUCAUGGGAACAGCUAUGCUUUUUAGCAUUUGAGGGAGAACAAACACUUCAAUUCUUUUGGUCAAGGGGCGAUGAGCGAGUCAGUUUAAGGGGUGUAAGAAUCUGCUAAGCUUUUGGUUUGAUUGAUGGAAUGAAGAUGAACCAGGAAAAUAACAUCCAUGCAUUGUUGGUUGGAUGAAUGAGUGACCAGCAGUUGCAACUAUUGGUUGUCUAAAGAAAGAAAGUAGAGAAAAGUGGUCAAAGUACAGGCUUCGUUUGAUUCUACUGUAGUUUUCCGUUUGAUGUUUUCAUUUUCACUUUUUUUUUAGUGCUAUGUUUUCAUUUCCAAAAAAUGGAUGUUGUCUCCACACUAAUAAUCGGCUUGCUCGAUGUAUCUCUAGUAGUGUCAUUCAGAUCUGUGUUUUUCCAACACAAAUUUGGAAGGAAAGAGUUGAUAUUUCUCCAUAGAAGCUACAAUUUUCAUCCCUGUCCAUAUAUUUACUUCCCUAUUUAGACAUGGCCCCAGAUUUGUUUUAGCACUGAGGUUCUUGCUUGUAGAUUCAAACCAGAUGCUAUGCUACUACUACGUCAUUGUUGUGAUUGUGAAAACCAAAGUAAGAAAGGGUGUUUUAGACUUUUAGUCAUUUUGUGCAGUCUUUGGCCAUUCAGUUCAGAAUCAGUGUAACUGUCCUCUAAUAUCUUUCACCAGCUCUUGCAUUUUUA